Molecule: non-coding RNA, 643 nt
Organism: Salvelinus sp. IW2-2015
Lineage: Eukaryota; Metazoa; Chordata; Actinopteri; Salmoniformes; Salmonidae
Source: RefSeq, a predicted model, not a curated record
UUGGCCCCGCCGUUACCAUGGUUACACAGGCACUAUUAUGGUCCUGUGUGUAUGUGUGACAUGACUCAUCGUGUACAUUCUGUUAUCGUCCUAUAUGAAUCUCAACAUGAACCUCGAAUCUCCUUCCUGUCAUGUUUUAAUAUAUGAUAAACCAUUUCAUCAGCUUUGCUGUUACAGGUCAGUACAGUGAGAGACAAUGACACACGGCAUUGAAUUCUACUUUUUAUUGGUGGGGCCACCCAUACACACAGUGCUGUAAGUCUGCUAAAUGGCAUAUAAUAUUACAUAGGAUCUGACUUACAUAAGGAUCUGACUUAUGGUUCUAAGAAAAUUGCAUAACUAAAAUUGUCAAAAUGUUGGUAUUUUUCUCUCCCCCAAAGGAUCUUCCCCAGAGAAUACCUACUGCAACAUGUUCACCUGUACUCACUGGCUGACCUGCAACAGGUGAUAGAUGGGAAACUUGCUCCCUUCCUCUCCAAGGUGAUGAAGUUUGCCAGUUCCCACGUCUACAGCUGCAGCCAGUGCAGAGAGAAGGGCUUCAUCUGUGAGAUGUGUCAGAAUGGACAGGUCAUCUACCCCUUCCAGGAGAGUGCUACGAAGAGAUGUGAUGUCUGCGGAGCGGUGUUCCCAGAGUGUGUCGUCA